This 76-nucleotide transfer RNA is filed under the name Actinomycetes bacterium. Its description in RNAcentral is "tRNA-Arg". It matches the Rfam family "tRNA". From Rfam's summary of the family: Transfer RNA (tRNA) molecules are approximately 80 nucleotides in length. Their secondary structure includes four short double-helical elements and three loops (D, anti-codon, and T loops). The record is from RNAcentral. Lineage: Bacteria; Bacillati; Actinomycetota; Actinomycetes.
GCCCCCAUGGCUCAGGGGAUAGAGCGUCUGCCUCCGGAGCAGAAGGCCGCAGGUUCGAAUCCUGCUGGGGGCACCA